UCUGACACAGGUGCUGCAUGGCUGUCGUCAGCUCGUGUCGUGAGAUGUUGGGUUAAGUCCGUAACGAGCGCAACCCUUGUCCUUAGUUACCAGCACGUUAUGGUGGGCACUCUAAGGAGACUGCCGGUGACAACCGGAGGAAGUGGGGAUGACGUCAAGUCAUCAUGGCCCUACGGCCUGGGCUACACACGUGCUACAAUGGUCGGUACAAAGGGUUGCCAAGCCGCGAGGUGGAGCUAAUCCCAUAAAACCGAUCGUAGUCCGGAUCGCAGUCUGCAACUCGACUGCGUGAAGUCGGAAUCGCUAGUAAUCGUGAAUCAGAAUGUCACGGUGAAUACGUUCCCGGGCCUU
This 351-nucleotide ribosomal RNA is filed under the name uncultured Pseudomonas sp. Its description in RNAcentral is "bacterial SSU rRNA". It matches the Rfam family "Bacterial small subunit ribosomal RNA", at positions 1028 to 1382 of the family's 1533-position model. Lineage: Bacteria; Pseudomonadati; Pseudomonadota; Gammaproteobacteria; Pseudomonadales; Pseudomonadaceae. The record is from RNAcentral.